UACGGGGGGGGCAAGCGUUGUUCGGAAUUACUGGGCGUAAAGGGCUCGUAGGUGGCCAACUAAGUCAGACGUGAAAUCCCUCGGCUCAACCUGGGAACUGCGUCUGAUACUGGACGGCUUGAGUUUGGGAGAGGGAUGUAGAAUUCCAGGUGUAGCGGUGAAAUGCGUAGAUAUCUGGAGGAAUACCGGUGGCGAAGGCGGCAUCCUGGACCAAUACUGACGCUGAGGCGCGAAAGCUAGGGGAGCAAACGGG
This 253-nucleotide ribosomal RNA is filed under the name uncultured bacterium. Its description in RNAcentral is "partial 16S ribosomal RNA". It matches the Rfam family "Bacterial small subunit ribosomal RNA", at positions 524 to 776 of the family's 1533-position model. The record is from RNAcentral.